AACGCGAAGAACCUUACCUGGGCUUGAACCGCUACUGACCAAGGGUAGAAAUAUCCUCUUCCCGCAAGGGACAGUAGUAGAGGUGCUGCAUGGCUGUCGUCAGCUCGUGCCGUGAGGUGUUGGGUUAAGUCCCGCAACGAGCGCAACCCUUACUCGUAGUUGCUACCCGCAAGGGAGAACUCUACGAGGACUGCUCCGGAUAACGGAGAGGAAGGUGGGGAUGACGUCAAGUCAGCACGGCCUUUAUGUCCAGGGCUACACACGUGUUACAAUGCACGGUACAGACUGUUGCGAACCCGCGAGGGGGAGCUAAUCGGACAAAACCGUGCUCAGUUCGGAUUGCAGUCUGCAACUCGGCUGCAUGAAGCUGGAAUCGCUAGUAAUGGCGUAUCAGAUCGACGCCGUGAAUACGUUCCCGGGCCUUGUA
RNAcentral lists this ribosomal RNA (427 nucleotides) under uncultured Acidobacteriota bacterium. Its description in RNAcentral is "bacterial SSU rRNA". It matches the Rfam family "Bacterial small subunit ribosomal RNA", at positions 958 to 1385 of the family's 1533-position model. The record is from RNAcentral. Lineage: Bacteria; Pseudomonadati; Acidobacteriota.